This 392-nucleotide ribosomal RNA is filed under the name uncultured bacterium. Its description in RNAcentral is "bacterial SSU rRNA". It matches the Rfam family "Bacterial small subunit ribosomal RNA", at positions 975 to 1368 of the family's 1533-position model. The record is from RNAcentral.
CUGGGUUUGACAUCGCCGGAAAACUCGCAGAGAUGAGGGCUCCCUUGUGGCUGGUUCACAGGUGGGCAUGGCUGUCGUCAGCUCGUGUCGUGAGAUGUUGGGUUAAGUCCCGCAACGAGCGCAACCCUCGUUCCAUGUUGCCAGCGCGUUAUGGCGGGGACUCAUGGGAGACUGCCGGGGUCAACUCGGAGGAAGGUGGGGAUGACGUCAAGUCAUCAUGCCCCUUAUGUCCAGGGCUUCACACAUGCUACAAUGGCCGGUACAAAGGGCUGCUAAGCCGUGAGGUGGAGCGAAUCCCAUAAAGCCGGUCUCAGUUCGGAUCGGGGUCUGCAACUCGACCCCGUGAAGUCGGAGUCGCUAGUAAUCGCAGAUCAGCAACGCUGCGGUGAAUA